AGAAACUCAAAUGAAGUUGACGGGGGCCCGCACAAGCAGCGGAGCAUGUGGUUUUAAUUCGAAGCAACGCGAAGAACCUUACCAAGGACUUGACAUCCCCUGACAGCUGUUGAAAGGCAGUGUCUCUUCGGAGCAGGGAGACAGGUGGUGCAUGGUUGUCGUCAGCUCGUGUCGUGAGAUGUUGGGUUAAGUCCCGCAACGAGCGCAACCUUAUCCUUAGUUACCAGCACGUAAAGGUGGGGACUCUAGGGAGACCGCCGGGGACGACUCGGAGGAAGGUGGGGACGACGUCAAAUCAUCAUGCCCCUUAUGUCUUGGGCUACACACGUGCUACAAUGGCCGCAACAGAGGGAAGCGAGAGCGCAAGCUGGAGCAAAACCCUAAAAGCGGUCCCAGUUCGGAUUGUGGGCUGCAACCCGCCCACAUGAAGUCGGAGUUGCUAGUAAUCGCGAAUCAGCAUGUCGCGGUGAAUGCGUUCCCGGGCCUU
RNAcentral lists this ribosomal RNA (487 nucleotides) under uncultured Lachnospiraceae bacterium. Its description in RNAcentral is "bacterial SSU rRNA". It matches the Rfam family "Bacterial small subunit ribosomal RNA", at positions 895 to 1382 of the family's 1533-position model. The record is from RNAcentral. Lineage: Bacteria; Bacillati; Bacillota; Clostridia; Lachnospirales; Lachnospiraceae.